Small nucleolar RNA from Selaginella moellendorffii, 101 nucleotides. It matches the Rfam family "Small nucleolar RNA Z266". From Rfam's summary of the family: Z266 is a member of the C/D class of snoRNA which contain the C (UGAUGA) and D (CUGA) box motifs. Most of the members of the box C/D family function in directing site-specific 2'-O-methylation of substrate RNAs. The record is from Rfam. NCBI's taxonomy places the organism in Eukaryota, Viridiplantae, Streptophyta, Lycopodiopsida, Selaginellales, Selaginellaceae.
UGUGGCGAAAGUGAUGAAUCGAUUAGAUGUGUCAAGCGGCCUAUGGCUGUUGAUGGACUUAAACCUUUGAGGCAUAUACAUUCAUUCCUGAUCUGCCAGUA